AACCCAGAGGCGAAAUGAAAGUGAAAGGAGGGCGUCCCGCGGCGGUUUCGGCCGUCGCGGCGGUGCUCUCCGGGGCCGAUCCUCGACUGAGCGACGCCGCCGUGGUCGUCCCACACCAAAGCAGGGCCCUAGCAAGGCGGCGCGGCGGGGUGAGACCCUUUCCCCCGCCCGCCGCCGGUCCUGUGGGCGUGCCGCGGUGCGCUCGCGAGUCCGGCCCGCUUCGGCGGGUCGCCUGUACGCAGGGGGGCGCAGGCCCGGGACUUGCCAUCCGACGCCGUCGCGCGAAUCUGUUGUUGGCCUCGCCGGCUCUGCUUGGGCUCUCGGUUGGCGUGCCGCGUGUCUUUGGGCGGGCUCUGGGUGGGGCGGUUGGGCUCUSGCGGGCUCGCCGCUCUUCCCCCGGGCUCGUCCGGCGCGGUUCCGCCCUCCGAUCCUGCUCUGUCCGGCGUGGCCUAGCGCGCGUGCUGUCGGCAAGUACCAAGAGCAGACAUGUUGGGACCCGAAAGAUGGUGAACUAUGCCUGGCCAGGAUGAAGCCAGAGGAAACUCUGGUGGAGGUCC
RNAcentral lists this ribosomal RNA (557 nucleotides) under Charybdis feriata. RNAcentral describes it as "eukaryotic LSU rRNA". The stretch from base 494 to 557 matches the Rfam family "Eukaryotic large subunit ribosomal RNA", at positions 813 to 876 of the family's 3401-position model. Lineage: Eukaryota; Metazoa; Arthropoda; Malacostraca; Decapoda; Portunidae. The record is from RNAcentral.